UGGGGAAUUUUGGACAAUGGGGGAAACCCUGAUCCAGCCAUCCCGCGUGUGCGAUGAAGGCCUUCGGGUUGUAAAGCACUUUUGGCAGGAAAGAAACGUCAUGGGUUAAUACCCCGUGAAACUGACGGUACCUGCAGAAUAAGCACCGGCUAACUACGUGCCAGCAGCCGCGGUAAUACGUAGGGUGCAAGCGUUAAUCGGAAUUACUGGGCGUAAAGCGUGCGCAGGCGGUUCGGAAAGAAAGAUGUGAAAUCCCAGAGCUCAACUUUGGAACUGCAUUUUUAACUACCGGGCUAGAGUGUGUCAGAGGGAGGUGGAAUUCCGCGUGUAGCAGUGAAAUGCGUAGAUAUGCGAAGGAACACCGAUGGCGAAGGCAGCAUCCUGGGAUAACACUGACACACAUGCACGAAAGCGUGGGGAGCAAACAGG
RNAcentral lists this ribosomal RNA (429 nucleotides) under Acidobacteriota bacterium. RNAcentral describes it as "Acidobacteria bacterium partial 16S ribosomal RNA". It matches the Rfam family "Bacterial small subunit ribosomal RNA", at positions 355 to 776 of the family's 1533-position model. Lineage: Bacteria; Pseudomonadati; Acidobacteriota. The record is from RNAcentral.